GACGAACGCUGGCGGCGUGCUUAACACAUGCAAGUCGAACGGAAAGGCCCUGCUUUUGUGGGGUGCUCGAGUGGCGAACGGGUGAGUAACACGUGAGUAACCUGCCCUUGACUUUGGGAUAACUUCAGGAAACUGGGGCUAAUACCGGAUAGGAGCUCCUGCUGCAUGGUGGGGGUUGGAAAGUUUCGGCGGUUGGGGAUGGACUCGCGGCUUAUCAGCUUGUUGGUGGGGUAGUGGCUUACCAAGGCUUUGACGGGUAGCCGGCCUGAGAGGGUGACCGGCCACAAUGGGACUGAGAUACGGCCCAGACUCCUACGGGAGGCAGCAGUGGGAAGUAUUGCACAAUGGGCGGAAGCCUGAUGCAGCAGCGCCGCGUGCGGGAAAACGGCCUUCGGGUUGUAAACCGCUUUCGCCUGUGACGAAGCGUGAGUGACGGUAAUGGGUAAAGAAGCACCGGCUAACUACGUG
This 468-nucleotide ribosomal RNA is filed under the name uncultured bacterium. RNAcentral describes it as "partial 16S ribosomal RNA". It matches the Rfam family "Bacterial small subunit ribosomal RNA", at positions 28 to 507 of the family's 1533-position model. The record is from RNAcentral.